RNAcentral lists this ribosomal RNA (806 nucleotides) under uncultured bacterium. RNAcentral describes it as "bacterial SSU rRNA". It matches the Rfam family "Bacterial small subunit ribosomal RNA", at positions 8 to 812 of the family's 1533-position model. The record is from RNAcentral.
AGAGUUUGAUCCUGGCUCAGGAUGAACUCUGGCGGCGUGCUUAACACAUGCAAGUCGAACGAAGCACUUUAACUUGAUUUCCUCGGAAUGAUUGAUAUUGUGACUGAGUGGCGGACGGGUGAGUAACGCGUGGGUAACCUGCCUCAUACAGGGGGAUAACAGUUAGAAAUGACUGCUAAUACCGCAUAAGCGCACAGUAUCGCAUGAUACAGUGUGAAAAACUCCGGUGGUAUGAGAUGGACCCGCGUCUGAUUAGCUAGUUGGUGGGGUAACGGCCUACCAAGGCGACGAUCAGUAGCCGACCUGAGAGGGUGACCGGCCACAUUGGGACUGAGACACGGCCCAAACUCCUACGGGAGGCAGCAGUGGGGAAUAUUGCACAAUGGGCGAAAGCCUGAUGCAGCGACGCCGCGUGAACGAAGAAGUAUUUCGGUAUGUAAAGUUCUAUCAGCAGGGAAGAUAAUGACGGUACCUGACUAAGAAGCACCGGCUAAAUACGUGCCAGCAGCCGCGGUAAUACGUAUGGUGCAAGCGUUAUCCGGAUUUACUGGGUGUAAAGGGAGCGCAGGCGGUACGCCAAGUCUGAUGUGAAAGCCCGGGGCUCAACCCCGGUACUGCAUUGGAAACUGUCGAACUAGAGUGUCGGAGGGGUAAGUGGAAUUCCUAGUGUAGCGGUGAAAUGCGUAGAUAUUAGGAGGAACACCAGUGGCGAAGGCGGCUUACUGGACGAUAACUGACGCUGAGGCUCGAAAGCGUGGGGAGCAAACAGGAUUAGAUACCCUGGUAGUCCACACUGUAAACGAUGA